This 467-nucleotide ribosomal RNA is filed under the name uncultured bacterium. RNAcentral's name for it is "partial 16S ribosomal RNA". It matches the Rfam family "Bacterial small subunit ribosomal RNA", at positions 28 to 507 of the family's 1533-position model. The record is from RNAcentral.
GACGAACGCUGGCGGCGUGCUUAACACAUGCAAGUCGAACGGAAAGGCUCCAGCUUGCUGGAGUACUCGAGUGGCGAACGGGUGAGUAACACGUGGGUAAUCUGCCCUGCACUCUGGGAUAAGCCUGGGAAACUGGGUCUAAUACUGGAUAUGACCUUUCUCCUUAUGGGGUUUGGUGGAAAGUUUUUCGGUGUAGGAUGAGCCCGCGGCCUGUCAGCUUGUUGGUGGGGUGAUGGCCUACCAAGGCGACGACGGGUAGCCGGCCUGAGAGGGUGAUCGGCCAAAUUGGGACUGAGAUACGGCCCAGACUCCUACGGGAGGCAGCGGUGGGGAAUAUUGCACAAUGGGCGGAAGCCUGAUGCAGCGACGCCGCGUGAGGGAUGACGGCCUUCGGGUUGUAAACCUCUGUCAGCAGGGACGAAGCGUAAGUGACGGUACCUGCAGAAGAAGCACCGGCUAACUAUGUG